CCUACGGGAGGCAGCAGUGGGGAAUCUUGCGCAAUGGGCGAAAGCCUGACGCAGCAACGCCGCGUGCGGGAAGAAGGCUUUCGGGCUGUAAACCGCUUUCAGCAGGAACGAAAAUGACGGUACCUGCAGAAGAAGGAGCGGCCAACUAUGUGCCAGCAGCCGCGGUGAUACAUAGGCUUCAAGCGUUGUCCGGAUUUAUUGGGCGUAAAGAGUUCGUAGGCGGUCGAGUAAGUCGGGUGUGAAAAUUCUGGGCUCAACCCAGAGACGCCACCCGAUACUGCUUGACUUGAGUUCGAUAGGGGAGUGGGGAAUUCCUAGUGUAGCGGUGAAAUGCGCAGAUAUUAGGAGGAACACCGGUGGCGAAGGCGCCACUCUGGAUCGAUACUGACGCUGAGGAACGAAAGCAUGGGUAGCAAACAGGAUUAGAUACCCUGGUAGUCCAUGCCGUAAACGGUGGGCACUAGGUGUGGGUUUCUAUUAACGAAAUCCGCGCCGUCGCUAACGCAUUAAGUGCCCCGCCUGGGGAGUACGGUCGCGAGCUAAAACUCAAAUGAAUUGACGGCUUGAGAGUUGCGAGCGACGACGAGGGAGAGG
RNAcentral lists this ribosomal RNA (594 nucleotides) under uncultured bacterium. RNAcentral's name for it is "bacterial SSU rRNA". It matches the Rfam family "Bacterial small subunit ribosomal RNA", at positions 338 to 950 of the family's 1533-position model. The record is from RNAcentral.